This 234-nucleotide ribosomal RNA is filed under the name uncultured bacterium. Its description in RNAcentral is "partial 16S ribosomal RNA". It matches the Rfam family "Bacterial small subunit ribosomal RNA", at positions 118 to 350 of the family's 1533-position model. The record is from RNAcentral.
UGGGCAACCUGCCCCUCUCUCUGGGAUAACCCCGGGAAACCCGGGAGCUAAUACCGGAUACUCCGGCUGGAUCGCAUGGUCCGGCCGGGAAAGGUCCGCCGGAGAGGGAUGGGCCCGCGGCCUAUCAGCUUGUUGGUGGGGUCAUGGCUCACCAAGGCGACGACGGGUAGCCGGCCUGAGAGGGUGACCGGCCACACUGGGACUGAGACACGGCCCAGACUCCUACGGGAGGCA